RNAcentral lists this ribosomal RNA (443 nucleotides) under Castanopsides falkovitshi. Its description in RNAcentral is "partial large subunit ribosomal RNA". It matches the Rfam family "Bacterial large subunit ribosomal RNA", at positions 1944 to 2600 of the family's 2925-position model. Lineage: Eukaryota; Metazoa; Arthropoda; Insecta; Hemiptera; Miridae. The record is from RNAcentral.
GACUGUACAAAGGUAGCAUAAUCAUUUGUCUUUUAAUUAAAGGCUGGUAUGAAUGGUUGGAUGAAAGAUAUACUUUCUUUACUUUAUAUAAAAAAAUUAAUUUUUUAGUUAAAAAGCUAAAAUGUUGUUAUAGGACGAGAAGACCCUAUAGAACUUUAUUUUCUUUGUAUACAAUCUUAAUGGAUUUUUAUAAGAUUGUAUAUAAAUGUUAAUUUUAUUGGGGUGAUAGAAAAAACUAUAUAACUUUUUCUAUUUUUUACAUUUAUUUAUGUUUUUUUGAUCUUUUAUUAAAGAAAUAAGAUUAAGUUACCUUAGGGAUAACAGCGUUAUUUUCUUGGAGAGUUCUUAUCGAUAAGAAAGUUUGCGACCUCGAUGUUGGAUUAAAAUAAGUGGCAGGAGUAGAAUAUUGUUUACUAGGUCUGUUCGACCUUUGAAUUUUUACA